Vicia faba (fava bean) is the source of this 210-nucleotide non-coding RNA. Lineage: Eukaryota; Viridiplantae; Streptophyta; Magnoliopsida; Fabales; Fabaceae. The record is from the annotation of a GenBank genome assembly.
AUGUUAGAUGAUGUCGAUAAAUCUUUACAUUUUCAAUUGCAAGCUCACCGUUUCAUCAACCAAUCCAUCAUCAUCAAUCAUCAUUACCAAUCUCAAUUAUCGCAUUUUUCAUUAUUCUCUCACAAUAUUCUUCAACCUUCGUUCUUCUAUUCUUCUUCCUCACCUCACAAUUCCAUCAUCGAUUUCAGGUUAUUGAUUGUAGAAGGUUGA